Molecule: non-coding RNA, 364 nt
Organism: Python bivittatus (Burmese python)
Lineage: Eukaryota; Metazoa; Chordata; Lepidosauria; Squamata; Pythonidae
Source: RefSeq, a predicted model, not a curated record
CAGAGGAGCAGAAGGAGCAGGUCGAGUUUCAGUCCUUCUCUGUGGGCAUCAGAGAUCCUGAGGGAAGGAGGCAUCCAUCCAGUCCCCUUCAGGAGCUGUUUUUCAGGAGGAUCUCUCAGGAUGAUCCAAGUGAGGACACCUCAGGAGGGAAGACUCGAACAAAGUUGUCUGCUGUCUCUGGUGCAGCUGAAACAGUGGCUGAACCUCCAGCUCCAGUAAGAAGAGGAAAUUUAUCUUUUGAUUUUGUAUUCUCCCUUUCCAUCAGGCAGUCAAGCUGGUGUAUGUAGGACUCUCUCCUUCCAUUUUCCCCCCUUUUUUGGGCCUGGGUGUUUUCUUGUCCUUGAGCAACAUUGAAUGGGGAAUG